RNAcentral lists this ribosomal RNA (468 nucleotides) under uncultured bacterium. Its description in RNAcentral is "partial 16S ribosomal RNA". It matches the Rfam family "Bacterial small subunit ribosomal RNA", at positions 28 to 507 of the family's 1533-position model. The record is from RNAcentral.
GACGAACGCUGGCGGCGUGCUUAACACAUGCAAGUCGAACGGAAAGGCCCUGCUUUUGUGGGGUGCUCGAGUGGCGAACGGGUGAGUAACACGUGAGUAACCUGCCCUUGACUUUGGGAUAACUUCAGGAAACUGGGGCUAAUACCGGAUAGGAGCUCCUGCUGCAUGGUGGGGGUUGGAAAGUUUCGGCGGUUGGGGAUGGACUCGCGGCUUAUCAGCUUGUUGGUGGGGUAGUGUCUUACCAAGGCGUUGACGGGUAGCCGGCCUGAGAGGGUGACCGGCCACAGUGGGACUGAGAUACGGGCCAGACUGCUACGGGAGGCAGCAGUGGGGAAUUGUGCACAAUGGGCGGAAGCCGGAUGCAGCAACGCCGCGUGCGGGAGGACGGCCGUCGGGUUAUAAACCGCUUUCGCCUGUGACGAAGCGUGAGUGACGGUAAUGGGUAAAGAAGCACCGGCUAACUACGUG